GACGAACGCUGGCGGCGUGCCUAAUACAUGCAAGUUGAGCGCUGAAGGUUGGUACUUGUACCAACUGGAUGAGCAGCGAACGGGUGAGUAACGCGUGGGGAAUCUGCCUUUGAGCGGGGGACAACAUUUGGAAACGAAUGCUAAUACCGCAUAAAAACUUUCAACACAAUUUUUAAGUUUGAAAUAUGCAAUUGCAUCACUCAAAGAUGAUCCCGCGGUGUUUUAGCUAGUUGGUGAGGUAAAGGCUCACCAAGGCGAGGAUACAUAGCCAACCUGAGAGGAGGGGCGGCCACAUUGGGACGGAGACACGGCCCAAACUCCUUCGGGAAGCAGCAGGAGGGAAUCUUCGGCAAUGGACGAAAGUCUGACCGAGAAACGCCGCGUGAGUGAAGAAGGUUUUCGGAUCGGAAAACUCUGUUGGUAGAGAAGAACGUUGGUGAGAGUGGAAAGCUCAUCAAGUGACGGUAACUACCCAGAAAGGGACGGCUAACUACGUG
This 497-nucleotide ribosomal RNA is filed under the name uncultured bacterium. RNAcentral's name for it is "partial 16S ribosomal RNA". It matches the Rfam family "Bacterial small subunit ribosomal RNA", at positions 28 to 507 of the family's 1533-position model. The record is from RNAcentral.